RNAcentral lists this ribosomal RNA (492 nucleotides) under uncultured bacterium. RNAcentral's name for it is "partial 16S ribosomal RNA". It matches the Rfam family "Bacterial small subunit ribosomal RNA", at positions 29 to 507 of the family's 1533-position model. The record is from RNAcentral.
AGUGAACGCUGGCGGUAGGCCUAACACAUGCAAGUCGAACGGCAGCACAGUAAGAGCUUGCUCUUACGGGUGGCGAGUGGCGGACGGGUGAGGAAUACAUCGGAAUCUACUUUUUCGUGGGGGAUAACGUAGGGAAACUUACGCUAAUACCGCAUACGACCUACGGGUGAAAGCAGGGGAUCUUCGGACCUUGCGCGAUUGAAUGAGCCGAUGUCGGAUUGGCUAGUUGGCGGGGUAAAGGCCCACCAAGGCGACGAUCCGUAGCUGGUCUGAGAGGAGGAUCAGCCACACUGGAACUGAGACACGGACCAGACUCCUACGGGAGGCAGCAGUGGGGAAUAGUGGACAAUGGGCGCAAGCCUGAUCCAGCCAUACCGCGUGGGUGAAGAAGGCCUUCGGGUUGUAAAGCCCUUUUGUGGGGAAAGAAAAGCAGCAGGUUAAUACCCCGCUGUUCUGACGGUACCCAAAGAAUAAGCACCGGCUAACUUCGCG